Molecule: ribosomal RNA, 297 nt
Filed under: bacterium enrichment culture
Lineage: Bacteria
Description: partial 16S ribosomal RNA
Rfam family: Bacterial small subunit ribosomal RNA
Source: RNAcentral
UCGAACGGCAGCACAGGAGAGCUUGCUCUCUGGGUGGCGAGUGGCGGACGGGUGAGGAAUACAUCGGAAUCUACCUUUUCGUGGGGGAUAACGUAGGGAAACUUACGCUAAUACCGCAUACGACCUACGGGUGAAAGUGGGGGACCGCAAGGCCUCACGCGAUUAGAUGAGCCGAUGUCCGAUUAGCUAGUUGGCGGGGUAAUGGCCCACCAAGGCGACGAUCGGUAGCUGGUCUGAGAGGAUGAUCAGCCACACUGGAACUGAGACACGGUCCAGACUCCUACGGGAGGCAGCAGU